CCUACGGGAGGCAGCAGUGAGGAAUAUUGGUCAAUGGCCGGAAGGCUGAACCAGCCAAGUAGCGUGAGGGAAGACUGCCCUAUGGGUUGUAAACCUCUUUUAUGCGGGGAGAAAGGGGGCCACGUGUGGAUGUUUGCAGGUACCGCAUGAAUAAGGACCGGAUAAUUCCGUGCCAGCAGCCGCGGUAAUACGGAAGGUCCGGGCGUUAUCCGGCUUUAUUGGGGUUAAAGGGAGCGUAGGCCGGUCUUUAAGCGUGCCGUGCAAGUUUGUGGCUCAACCCUGAGAGUGCGGCGCGAACUGGCGACCUUGAGUGCGCGGAAGGCAGGCGGAAUUCGUGGUGUAGCGG
RNAcentral lists this ribosomal RNA (346 nucleotides) under uncultured bacterium. RNAcentral describes it as "partial 16S ribosomal RNA". It matches the Rfam family "Bacterial small subunit ribosomal RNA", at positions 338 to 681 of the family's 1533-position model. The record is from RNAcentral.